AUGCGUACAAGCCUGUACGCAGACGACGCCAUUAUCUUCAUAAACCCCGAUCGCACAGAUAUAGACAACCUACUAGAUCUUCUGCAACUUUUCGGCGACGCGACGGGGCUGCGCGUCAACCUGUCAAAAUCUUCGGCGAUCCCCAUUAGAUGCGACGACAUAGACAUUCAGGAUGUUCUGCACAAUUUCGCUGGCCCUACGGCGGCGUUCCCGCUUAAAUACCUAGGGCUUCCUGUCACGAUUGGCCGCAUCAAGUUAGUCCAUCUUCAGGCCAUCCUCGACAGGAUUAGAGCGAGGUUAGCUGGCUGGAAAGGUAAACUCUUGCCAUUGGCAGGAUGCCGUGUUCUAGUGCGCUGUGUGCUUUCUGCCAUCCCUACCUUCGCGCUUACGGCGCUGCGAAUCCCAAAAAGAUUCCUUAAGGAGAUCGCUAAAGCAAGACGGCGUUUUCUCUGGGCGGGCGACGAGGAAAUCUCGGGCGGCAACUGCAAGGUUGGAUGG
Molecule: ribosomal RNA, 498 nt
Filed under: Triticum aestivum (bread wheat)
Lineage: Eukaryota; Viridiplantae; Streptophyta; Magnoliopsida; Poales; Poaceae
Description: partial small subunit ribosomal RNA
Source: RNAcentral